Molecule: ribosomal RNA, 474 nt
Filed under: uncultured bacterium
Lineage: Bacteria
Description: bacterial SSU rRNA
Rfam family: Bacterial small subunit ribosomal RNA
Source: RNAcentral
GAUGAACGCUGGCGGCGUGCCUCAAACAUGCAAGUCGAGCGGGGCUAUGUAAUAUCGCAAGGUAGAACAUAGCCUAGCGGCGAACGGGUGAGUAACACGUGGGUAACCUGCCUGGAAGACAGGGAUAACGAUUCGAAAGGGUCGCUAAUACCUGAUAAUAUCCUUUCAUCGCAUGGUGAUAGGAAGAAAGGGGAAACCCGCUUUCAGAUGGGCCCGCGUCCCAUCAGCUAGUUGGUAAGGUAAAGGCUUACCAAGGCGACGACGGGUAGCCGGUCUGAGAGGAUGUACGGCCACACUGGGACUGAGAUACGGCCCAGACUCCUACGGGAGGCAGCAGUUGGGAAUCUUAGGCAAUGGACGAAAGUCUGACCUAGCGACGCCGCGUGAGGGAAGAAGGCCUUCGGGUUGUAAAACCCUGUCCUUGGGGAAGAAGGAAGUGACGGUACCCAAGGAGGAAGCCCCGGUAACUACGUG